GGAAGUAAUAGUCGUAACAAGGUUUCCGUAGGUGAACCUGCGGAAGGAUCAUUAUUGUAUAACCGAGGUGCGAGGGCUGUCGCUGACCCGAAAGGUCGUGCACGCCCGAGUGCCCUCACACACAUCCAUCUCACCCCUAUGUGCACCACCGCGUGGGUCCCCCUUUGGCUUGUUCGGAGGGGGGCUUACGUUUUCACACAAACUUUGUAUGCAGUGUAGAAUGUAUUUUUUGUUUUUGCGAUCACGCAAUCAAUACAACUUUCAACAACGGAUCUCUUGGCUCUC
Molecule: unclassified non-coding RNA, 285 nt
Filed under: plant metagenome
Description: partial contains small subunit ribosomal RNA, internal transcribed spacer 1, and 5.8S ribosomal RNA
Rfam family: Eukaryotic small subunit ribosomal RNA (bases 1-54)
Source: RNAcentral